Molecule: ribosomal RNA, 333 nt
Filed under: uncultured Nocardioides sp.
Lineage: Bacteria; Bacillati; Actinomycetota; Actinomycetes; Propionibacteriales; Nocardioidaceae
Description: bacterial SSU rRNA
Rfam family: Bacterial small subunit ribosomal RNA
Source: RNAcentral
CUCGUAGGCGGUUUGUUGCGUCGGGAGUGAAAACUUACAGCUUAACUGUGAGCGUGCUUCCGAUACGGGCAGACUUGAGGUAUUCAGGGGAGAACGGAAUUCCUGGUGUAGCGGUGAAAUGCGCAGAUAUCAGGAGGAACACCGGUGGCGAAGGCGGUUCUCUGGGAAUAUCCUGACGCUGAGGAGCGAAAGUGUGGGGAGCGAACAGGAUUAGAUACCCUGGUAGUCCACACCGUAAACGUUGGGCGCUAGGUGUGGGGUCCAUUCCACGGAUUCCGUGCCGCAGCUAACGCAUUAAGCGCCCCGCCUGGGGAGUACGGCCGCAAGGCUAAA